UACGUAGGGUGCGAGCGUUGUCCGGAAUUAUUGGGCGUAAAGAGCUCGUAGGCGGUUUGUCACGUCGGGAGUGAAAACUCAGGGCUCAACCCUGAGCGUGCUUCCGAUACGGGCAGACUAGAGGUAUGCAGGGGAGAACGGAAUUCCUGGUGUAGCGGUGGAAUGCGCAGAUAUCAGGAGGAACACCGGUGGCGAAGGCGGUUCUCUGGGCAUUACCUGACGCUGAGGAGCGAAAGCAUGGGGAGCGAACAGG
This 253-nucleotide ribosomal RNA is filed under the name uncultured bacterium. Its description in RNAcentral is "partial 16S ribosomal RNA". It matches the Rfam family "Bacterial small subunit ribosomal RNA", at positions 524 to 776 of the family's 1533-position model. The record is from RNAcentral.